GGGGGGGAACGGUUUCAUUUUGGAAAAAUAAACAGAGCAUAAACAAAAUAUAUGUACAUAAUUAAGGAAAUUUGGAAAUAAUAGUAAUUUGGUAAUUAAUAAUAAAAGUAGGAAUGAGCGAGAAAGUAAAAAAAAAGAACCUGCAGAGAGAGACUGGAAUGCAACGUAGCAAAAAUACUGUCAUUGUAAAAACAUUGGCAAAAACACACUUAUUACGAAUACAACAGCUAACAGAAGCUUAUAUUUUCCAUGUGUAUACUUAUAUACAAGUAAAAAACAAAAAAAAAAAAAAAAAAACAUGCAUAGUUUCUGUUUUAUGGUAUUUAAUAGUACCAAGUCGUAUCAGAUUUUAGAACAUUCAUAUCGAAGUAAGCUAAUAGGAUUUUACACAGCUUAGUCGCAUCAGUUUCUUUUAGCAUAUGAUAAAAUUAUUACUAAAAACAUAUAAUGAAAUAUAAUGACUCAGAAGCUCUGAAUGACCCAAUAAUUGGUCCUAAGCAACUUGGAACAAUUUAGAGUUUCAGUUUGGAAGUGAAAUGCAGAGUGGAGUAUUGUAGAGUAUAGAGGAGUGGAGCAGAGUAUUUUAGAGUAUUAUGGAGGAGAGUAUUGUAGAGUGGAGUAGAAUAGAGUAUGUAUAGUGGAGCAGAAUAUUGUAGAGUAUAGUAGAGCAGAGCAUUGUAGCGUAGAGCAGAGUAUUGUAGAGCAGAGUAUUGUAAAGUAGAGCAGAGUGUUGUUAAGUAGAGCAGAGUGUUGUAGAGUAGAGCAGAGUAUUGUAGAGCAGAGUAUUGUAAAGUAGAGCAGAGUAUUGUAGAGCAGAGUAUUGUAAAUGGGAGCAGAGUGUUGUAGAGUAGAGCAGAGUAUUGUAGAGUAGAGCAGAGUAUUGUAGAGCAGAGUAUUGUAAAGUAGAGCAGAGUGUUGUUAAGUAGAGCAGAGUGUUGUAGAAUAGAGCAGAGUAUUGUAGAGCAGAGCAGAGUAUUGUAGAGUAGAGCAGAGUAUUGUAGAGUAGAGCAGAGUAUUGUAGAGCAGAGUAUUGUAAAGUAGAGCAGAGUGUUGUAGAGUAGAGCAGAGUAUUGUAGAGUAGAGCAGAGUAUUGUAGAGUAGAGCAGAGUAUUGUAGAGCAGAGUAUUGUAGAGUAGAGCAGAGUGUUUGUAGAGCAGAGUAUUGUAAAGUAGAGCAGAGUAUUGUAAAGUAGAGCAGAGUAUUGUAAAGUAGAGCAGAGUGUUGUAGAGUAGAGCAGAGUAUUGUAGAGCAGAGUAUUGUAGAGUGGAGCAGAGUGUGUAGAGUAGAGCAGAGUAUUGUAGAGCAGAGUGUUGUAGAGUAGAGCAGAGUAUUGUAGAGUAGAGCAGAGUAUUGUAGAAGCAGAGUGUUGUAGAGUAGAGCAUUGUAGAGUAGAGCAGAGUAUUGUAGAGUAGAGCAGAGUAUUGUAGAGUAGAGCAGAGUAUUGUAGAGCAGAGUGUGUAGAGUAGAGCAGAGUAUUGUAAAGUAGAGCAGAGUAUUGUAAAGUAGAGCAGAGUAUGUAGAGUAGAGAAGACUGUUGUAGAGCAGAGUAUUGUAGAGUAGAGAAGACUGUUGUAGAGCAGAGUAUUGUAGAGUAGAGAAGACUGUUGUAGAGCAGAGUAUUGUAGAGUAGAGAAGACUGUUGUAGAGCAGAGUAUUGUAGAGUAGAGCAGAGUAUUGUAGCAUGGAACAGAGUACUAUAGAGUAGAGAAGAACAGAGUAUUGUAGAGCAGAGUAUUGUAGCGUGGAACAGAGUACUGUAGAGCGGAGCAGAGUAUUGUAGAGCGGAGCAGAGUAUUGUAGAGCGGAGCAGAGUAUUGUAGAGCGGAGCAGAGUAUAGUAGAGCAGAGUAUAGUAGAGCAGAGUGAAGUAGAGUAUUGUAGAGUGGAAUAGAGUGGAGCAGAGUAUUGUAGAUUAGAGUGGAGUGGAGUAGAGUAUUGUACAGUAGAGUGGAACAGAGUAGAGUGGGUCACUCCAGAUCUUCUGUAUGUUCAGUAAGGCACUAAUAUACUGGCUUAGGGCACUUCACUAGUGCACUGCAAAGGGAAAAUUUCGGAAAUCUGGCUCAAUUUCCCUACGCGCGAUAUGUACAGCAAUGAAAAGAAAGAAAACGACACAAAUCGCAAGAAAAGAAUGUAAAUAAAAAGACGCACUGAAGUGCUAGUGUGUGAUCAUUUUAAUAUGAUUCACUUCUUCGACAAACCUGAACACGUUGUUAGUGCUCAAUAAUUUAAUGGCCGCGUUCUACAAAAGCCGAAGCCUCACAAUGAACGCCACCUUGGCUUCUAGUCACACAUCCCUGCAGCCUUACAUUGUUCUCUGUACACUGAAGACUACAGUGUACUACUUAACAUUACUGCGUUAGGUGUUACGGAUCUGUUCAAAUCUGUUUCUCAAAAACGUCACGGUGUCAAUUAGGCCGAUAAUCAGCUGUGUUAUAUACACAGUACAGUCCCCUCCAAAAGUAUUGGAACGGCAAGGCCAAUUCUAUUGUUUUCGCUGUACACUGAAGACAUUCGGGUUUGAGAUCAAAAGAUGAAUAAGACCGGCUUUUAUUUUCCUCAUGUUUACAUCCAGAUGUCUUAAACAACGCAGAACCUUUUGUUUGAAUCCACUCAUUUAUUCAAGCGGUCAAAAUAUUCAACAUGUGACAGAUAGGCAUUUCAUGCUGCUCAGGUGUGCCCUGUUAAACUAAUUGUGUAUAGAAUUAAUAAUCGCUGAACGUCUACUCUUGUUUCGAGCCCUAGGUUUCACCUGAUAAGACUGCAUUUGUUGUUCAAAAGGAUAAACCAACACGAAGACCUGAGAGCUGUCUAUGGGAGAAAA
Long non-coding RNA from Ictalurus punctatus (channel catfish), 2823 nucleotides. The record is from Ensembl. NCBI's taxonomy places the organism in Eukaryota, Metazoa, Chordata, Actinopteri, Siluriformes, Ictaluridae.